UGUUGCUAAACUGCUUCAACCCUCAUAUC
Molecule: non-coding RNA, 29 nt
Filed under: Rattus norvegicus (Norway rat)
Lineage: Eukaryota; Metazoa; Chordata; Mammalia; Rodentia; Muridae
Source: RNAcentral